CUACGGGGGGCUGCAGUGGGGAAUAUUGGACAAUGGGGGAAACCCUGAUCCAGCAAUGCCGCGUGUGUGAAGAAGGCCUGCGGGUUGUAAAGCACUUUCGGUUGGGAGGACUGCUUCUAGCACUAAUAUUGUUGGAAGUUGACGUUACCUUCAGAAGAAGCACCGGCUAACUCCGUGCCAGCAGCCGCGGUAAUACGGAGGGUGCAAGCGUUAAUCGGAAUUACUGGGCGUAAAGCGCGCGUAGGCGGCUAGAUCAGUCGGGUGUGAAAGCCCCGGGCUUAACCUGGGAACUGCAUCCGGUUCUGUCUAGGUUUAGUACAGGGGAAGGGAGGUGAAUUCCAAAUGUAGGGGUGAAAUGCGUAGAUAUGGGGGGGAACACCAAUGGCGGAGGGAGCCCCUUGGCCUGAUACCGACGCUGAGGUUCGAAAGCGUUGGGAGCAAACAGGAUUAGAUACCCCUGUAGUC
RNAcentral lists this ribosomal RNA (465 nucleotides) under uncultured bacterium. RNAcentral's name for it is "partial 16S ribosomal RNA". It matches the Rfam family "Bacterial small subunit ribosomal RNA", at positions 339 to 795 of the family's 1533-position model. The record is from RNAcentral.